RNAcentral lists this ribosomal RNA (253 nucleotides) under uncultured bacterium. RNAcentral's name for it is "partial 16S ribosomal RNA". It matches the Rfam family "Bacterial small subunit ribosomal RNA", at positions 524 to 776 of the family's 1533-position model. The record is from RNAcentral.
UACGAAGGGGGCGAGCGUUGUUCGGAUUUACUGGGCGUAAAGGGCGCGUAGGCGGCCAACUAAGUCGGACGUGAAAUCCCUCGGCUUAACCGGGGAACUGCGUCCGAUACUGGAUGGCUUGAGUUCGGGAGAGGGAUGCGGAAUUCCAGGUGUAGCGGUGAAAUACGUAGAUAUCUGGAGGAACACCGGUGGCGAAGGCGGCAUCCUGGACCGAUACUGACGCUGAGGAGCGAAAGCCAGGGGAGCAAACGGG